UACGAAGGGGGCUAGCGUUGCUCGGAAUCAUUGGGCGUAAAGGGUGCGUAGGUGGCGCCGUAAGUGGGGUGUGGAAUCUCGGGGCUUAACUCCGAAACUGCAUUCCAUACUGCGGUGCUCGAGGACUGGAGAGGAGACUGGAAUUUACGGUGUAGCAGUGAAAUGCGUAGAGAUCGUAAGGAAGACCAGUGGCGAAGGCGGGUCUCUGGACAGUUCCUGACACUGAGGCACGAAGGCCAGGGGAGCAAACGGG
RNAcentral lists this ribosomal RNA (253 nucleotides) under uncultured bacterium. RNAcentral's name for it is "partial 16S ribosomal RNA". It matches the Rfam family "Bacterial small subunit ribosomal RNA", at positions 524 to 776 of the family's 1533-position model. The record is from RNAcentral.